RNAcentral lists this ribosomal RNA (2172 nucleotides) under Triticum aestivum (bread wheat). Its description in RNAcentral is "partial small subunit ribosomal RNA". Lineage: Eukaryota; Viridiplantae; Streptophyta; Magnoliopsida; Poales; Poaceae. The record is from RNAcentral.
AUGUCGAGGACAUUUCAGUUGCUGCUAGUUCUUGCACUAGUAGGAAUAGUUAGAGUGAGUGGUUCCCGCGCUCAUAAGAACGUCACCCACGGCCCGCACAGCUGCGGCGGCGUGGAUGUCCCCUACCCGUUCGCCAUCGUGGAGGAUGGCGGCGGUGGCGACUACCGCGCUGGGUCCCAUGUCAUGUGUGACGCCGGUGAGCCGGUACUGCACACCACCGGCGGCGACGGAAAGCCCGUUAAGAUCGGCAACUUCUCCAUGAAGGCGGCUGAGGCCCGCGUGUGGCUGCCUGUAGCGUGGCAGUGCUACGACUCCUCCGGCAAAGCGAAUGGGUCAGACUACAGGAACCUAGAGUUCAACGAGGAGGGCGUGUACCGCAUCUCCCACGCCAGGAACAACCCUCUUUGUCCUGGGCUGCGAAACCACGGGCUACCUCGGGAGCCAGCCGGACCAGGGCUCCGGCGAAAGCAGGUCAUACGCCCAGUUCACCGUCUGCCUCUCCUACUGCAACAACUCCGAGAGCGCGGCGAGCGGUGCCUGCUCCGGGGUAGACUGCUGCCACGUAGAAAUUCCGCCGGACCUCCAUGGCAACUGGGUGGCCUUCGUUAGCUACGACAACACCAUUAAGUUGGAAAAAAAUUAUAUGAGACCAGGUCUCACGGUUAGCAGAUGAGGAAUAGGGUAGAUGCUUUGUGAUUUGUAAAUGGCACGUGUCAUUCAUCAGGAUGGGUCUCACCCAGUAAGUUCAACUUCAGCCCCUGCGAGUAUGCGUUUGCGGCGGAGAAGCAUUACAGCUUCAACACCACCGACCUCAAGAGGGCACUGCGCGGGACCACCUGGGAGAUGCCGGUGGUCCUCGACUGGGCCAUCCGCGACAGCCCCACCUGCAAGGAGGCCAGGAAGAAGAAGGAAGGGUACGCCUGCAAAAGCUCCAACAGCCGCUGCCUCGAUUCUACCAACGGACCUGGGUACAUCUGCAACUGCCGCCGGGGCUACGAGGGCAACCCCUAUAAUGAGCGUGGUUGUAUCGAUAUAAAUGAGUGUGAGCAUCUUGACCACUAUCCUUGCAAGGGAGACUGCGAGAACAAAGAAGGUUCUUACGAAUGCACAUGCCCCAAGCACACAAAUAGUCCUAAUCCCUUCAAAGAACGUUGCAGCCAAAAUUUACCACUCGGAGCAAAGAUCAUCGUAGGUGCCAUAGGGGGUCUUUUCAUCAUAGCUAUUAUGGUGUUCUUGUGGCUUCUUCACAAAGAGAAAAGAAGGAUGAGAGACAAUUUUGAAAAGAAUGGGGGACCUAUAUUGGAAAAGAUCAAUAAUAUAAAGCUAUUCAAUAAGGAAGAUAUAAGGAAAAUUCUGAAAAAUAAGAAAAUUCUUGGAAAUGGUCGCUUUGGUACGGUUUCCAUGGGGCACACUGAGGAUAAACAAGUGGUCGCUGUGAAAGAACCCAUCAAUCGCAAAUCAACGAAUGACCAGUUUGUAAAUGAGAUCAUCAUUCAGUCUAGAGUCAUUCACAAAAACAUUGUCAAGCUCAUAGGUUGUUGCCUACAAUUUAAAGUGCCAACUUUGAUCUAUGAAUUUGUGCCCAAGGGCAGCCUCGACGAUAUUCUUCAUGGCAAGAACCAUAUGCCUCUAAAGUUGGGUCUACGUCUACAAAUUGCUGCAGAAUCAGCAGAAGGUCUAGCUUAUAUGCAUUCAAAAACAACUACAACAAUCCUCCAUGGUGAUGUUGAACCAGCUAAUAUACUUUUGAAUGAAAAGUUUAUGCCGAAGAUCUCAGACUUUGGCAUAUCAAGGUUAAUGGUCACUGAUAUGCAACACACUGGAUAUAUCAUUUUUGACAGGGCUUAUGUUGAUCCAGUAUAUAGGCAAACUGAACAAUUGACCACCAAGAGUGAUAUCUAUUUUGGAGUUGUGCUCUUGGAGCUCAUUACAAGAAAGAAAGCCUCUCACUCUGACAACAAUUUACUCGGGAACUUUCUUGAUACCUACACAAAGGACAAGUCUGUGACCGAGCUCCUGGAUAAGGAACUUCGAGAGGAUGAUCAAGAAAUUCUUGGUCAUUUAGUAGGGAUGAUUAUGCAAUGUAUAAAUCUUGACGUCAAUCAGAGACCAGAGAUGACCGAUGUCGCUGAGCGUCUUCAUGAUAUGGUGAAGAGGUUAAAUAAUAAAUAG